GACGAACGCUGGCGGCGCGCCUAACACAUGCAAGUCGAACGAGCGAGAGAGAGCUUGCUUUCUUGAGCGAGUGGCGAACGGGUGAGUAACGCGUGAGGAACCUGCCUCAAAGAGGGGGACAACAGUUGGAAACGACUGCUAAUACCGCAUAAGCCCACGACCCGGCAUCGGGUUGAGGGAAAAGGAGCAAUCCGCUUUGAGAUGGCCUCGCGUCCGAUUAGCUAGUUGGUGAGGUAACGGCCCACCAAGGCGACGAGCGGUAGCCGGACUGAGAGGUUGAACGGCCACAUUGGGACUGAGACACGGCCCAGACUCCUACGGGAGGCAGCAGUGGGGAAUAUUGCACAAUGGGGGAAACCCUGAUGCAGCGACGCCGCGUGGAGGAAGAAGGUCUUCGGAUUGUAAACUCCUGUUGUUGAGGAAGAUAAUGACGGUACUCAACAAGGAAGUGACGGCUAACUACGUG
Molecule: ribosomal RNA, 466 nt
Filed under: uncultured bacterium
Lineage: Bacteria
Description: partial 16S ribosomal RNA
Rfam family: Bacterial small subunit ribosomal RNA
Source: RNAcentral